Molecule: non-coding RNA, 201 nt
Filed under: Gammaproteobacteria bacterium
Lineage: Bacteria; Pseudomonadati; Pseudomonadota; Gammaproteobacteria
Description: 6S RNA
Rfam family: 6S / SsrS RNA
About the family: E. coli 6S RNA was the first non coding RNA to be sequenced, but its function was unknown until recently.
Source: RNAcentral
UACCUCCUGGAAUGUUUGCGAGCUGGUGUAGUCCUUGAGCCGUUAGAUAAAUAUUAGGAGACAUAAGUACGAUGGCAGUGUGCACGUCCAAUACUGUAGAGAUUAUUUUUUGCAGGUUGGGAAGCCUUAGCUAUCAGCUUGGUCUCCGCCUUGAACCAGGACGGUUCAGGGCAAACCGGGCAGCGGCAUUUUGGGGGGAUU